AGAGUUAGGGAGAGGCGGCCGAGCUGCACACCUUGAGCCCCGGCCUCCUCCGAAGGGAACCCCUGCACCCCAGCGGGGUCAGCACAAGGUAGAGAAGGUAGAGGUCAGGGUGGAACAAAAGGGAAGGUCCCGCGGGUGUGCACGCUCUCGCAGGCACACAGCCGGCUCGCGGAGACACAGGGGCGGGGGAGGGGAGGGGAGGGGAGGGGAGGGCCUGACCUGAGAGGCCAGAGCGGGCGUGGGGGCCCCCCUCGGGUCAGGAGCCGGCCUCACCUUUGCAGUUCUUAUAUACCCGGCCAAGCAUCCCAAACACGCGGCCCUGGCCAAGUGGCCCCCUCGGGCUGCGCUCCCUGACCAUAUUUAGUCAAGCAGGGGAAAAAAUAGCCUGUCAGCUGGGCCGCGGCUGGCCCGGCCACCGGGAACAGGGUGGGAGCACCCACGCCAUUGACGGCGGGUCCCGGGCUCAGGCUGCUGUCCUGCCCCUCCCGGCCCCUCCCUGACAGGCCUCCCACCGGCUGUCCCUGCCCGAGAUCCCCCCGCUAUUUUUAGCCCAGCCAGUACAGAGGCGCCUCCUCAGUAGCCGGGCAGCAGCCUCCAUGCCAUGCCAGCCGGCUCCUAGGGUGCCCUGGGGAGACCCGGGCAUCUCCCAGGCUGCAGGGCCGGGGGUGGGGGGGGCGGGCAGAAUGGUACGGCCUCCUUCGCUGCUCUGAGCCUCCAGUGGGCUGAGCCCACCCAGGCCACCAGGAGUGGGUGGCCCCCUCCACAGUCCCAUCGGCUCUGCCCUUUUGCCUAGAAUUGGGGCCAGGAUCAGGUGGUGACAGAGCCACCUGGGUUUCCGGAGACUCUCAAGCCAACCCCAAGUCAUGACAAAUGCCAGUCGCCUUGGACAGAGGCAAGGUCAACCUGCUUGCCGCCCCCAGCCAGGCCCUGCCACCAAGGGGCCUGGACGCAGAGACCAGAGGCCUGAACUGGCAGACUGUCCUCACAGGCUGUGUGACGCUGGCUGGUCGUCCCAUCUCUCUGGGGCCCCACAGGACUGGGGACCAGGUCGUGGAAUGACAGUGGACCACAGUGGUCCGGGGACCCCGCUCGUUGGUGGCAGGCACAGGCCCGUGUGAUGGGGACAAUGAGCUUUGGUAUUUGUGAGUCCUGUCCAGAGCAUAGGUCCUCCUGUUCAGAAGCCACCUCAUAAAUGUCCCCAGUGCCUCCCGGACUUAGGAAGGCAUCCCCUUGUGGUUCUGGCCAGUUAGGGACACAGGGCCGGGGAGUCUAUGCCGCUCAGAACAGGCUCAGCUGCAUCUAAUCCCAGGGGAGCCCCUGAGGAGCCUGCACACCCCCCAGGCUGGCCCACAGGAGCUGAGGCAGGGCUCUCCUCCAGGUUCACCUCCUGGGCUCACGGCCCCUUCCCCACAUCCCAAGGCCGGCUCUGCAGAGUCAUGGGGAGAAGCCGGAGCCCCAGCCACACUCGCCACACACGCCGACACCCACUCUGGUGUCCUCCGGCCAGCGACAGCGAGGGACAGAGGGACGCCCCCUGCACCUGCCCAGUGCAGAGGCUUCUUGAGUGAUGCCAGGCCCUUCUCCCAGCCCUGUACGCCCCGCUAAAGACCCCAUGUCUCACCAUAAAGGAGGCCAGGAGGUUUUAAGCUUCUACCUGGUCUGAGCACUUUUCUGGAAACUAAAUAGCCACUCGGCUUCCCACUGGCAGCGGGAGAGCGUGGUGUGAGGUGUGGUGUCCAAACUCCCCCUGCAAGGCCCCUCCCCUGCAGCCCACUUCCUCCUGCCUGCCGUCUCCAGGCAGGGUUGAGGGGGGCAGGCCAGGCCUGCAGCUGGGGUCAGGGGCAUAGACAGCCACAAUGGGGGAGGUGGGGAGCAGUCUGCAGGCCUGGGCAGGCGGCUCUGUAAAGGAUGCGGGUGCUUUGUGGUGGUGAGAGAGAGGGUAUGCAGCAGACGUGGCCAUAAAUCACCCUCCUCACGGCAGCCCCACACCCACGGACCAGGGCACGGGCACAGGGCCAUCUCCUUCCAGGAGAAGGGCUGGUGUGGGUGGCCAGAUCUGACAGCCCCCAGGCCGUAGGACAGAGCCAGAAGACAGAGCAGUUCCCCCGUUUACCCAUAGCACCAGCCUCACAGUAACAGCCGGCACACAGCACUUAGGCUGCCUGGUGUUCCAGAAGCUUCUGCAGGGGCUCUAUGCUGCACUCAAGGCAUCCCUAAGAGGAGAGCAUUUUGCUGUCCCCACUUUACGGAGAAGGAACGUGGGCUCAGGGUGGUUUAAGGCGUGAAUGAAUGAAGGAGCAAGCAGUAAGCCCCGACAGCAAGGCCACCACAGCCCUCGCCCCACAGGGACGCCUGAGCAAGGACCCAAGCAGGGGACAAGCAGGCUCACCCCGCCCUUGCGGGGCUGACCACGAGGCCCCGUCCGGUGGAACACGCCAUGACGCUUCAGGAGGCUCAUGUAGCUGGCGCCGUAUGGGACAGCGGGGGAGAGAGAAAAUGCACAGCCCAGGGAAUGUGGAGACAGGCCCAGCGCCAGGCAUGGGGGCCGGAAGGAGCAGCCGGGGAGCAGGGGGCAGGGCCUGGAGUCCCGCCUUGCAGGUCAGAGAUCUGAACCUGCCCCAGCCCCAGGACUCUGAGUGCAGCAAGAGGGGAGCCGGGCUGGAGAGUGGGGAGCACGGAGACUGUGGCCUGGAUGGUGCCAGAGCAAACAGGAGAGAGGCUGCCCAACGCAGAGGCUGCAGCACAGACCAGAGGGUCCCGGGGCUGACUGGGUGGGGGCAGCUCCCAGCGAGAGGCCCCUGGGAUUUGGGUAAGUAGAGGCACAUGCAGACUCUGGCCACAGGGCACCUCGCGCACGAGGGGAGUUCACCACACAAGCUGAGCGGAGGGCGGACGCAGGAGAGCAGCGGUUUCUCGGAAGCCAAGGGCGGUCAUGGAGCCCCACGCCACAGCGCUUCCCACGGGGCCACACCAUCCGGUCUGCGGAGGGGGCUGCAUUGCCGGGAAGGACCAUCUGAUUCUGGAUUCCAGCCUCACCCUGGGCCACCGCUGAGUGUCCCAAGUGGCCCCUUAGCCCCCAGGGCCAGGCGGCAUCCCAAUCCCCUAGGGAUGUCUGUGCUCAGAAUGUGGCACACACGCCCCGGCAGGGCCAUCCUCCUCCUCCUGCACCCGCCACAGCCGUGGAUUCGGGGUCUCUAUCGUGGGCAGAAAUUCACACAGUCAAGGUGAGGGUCCCAGGAGCAGCUGUGACCAGGCCCCGGCUGCCAGGGAGAGGGGGUCUUCAGCCGACGGGGCAGACACCCUGAGAUGGACCCUUGUCCAGGGGAGGGCCCUGCCACCCACAAUUCCUUGGCAUUCCUGCACCAGCAGGACGGGCUGAGGGAGGCGCCUCACCAGUGCCAGCGCCCAGCAUCACUGUGCCCCGGUGGAGGGGGAGGCCCUUCCGAGCCUGGGCCUGGGUGUGGAUGAGGGCAGGUCUCUCACCUCUCUGACCUCAGCUUCCUCAACUGGGAAGGGGGGCCACAGCACCCCCUUAGGGGUGAUGAGGAAGUGGGAGCUCAGGGAGGACCCCGGGCAGGGCUGCCUCCUCACCUCUCUUCGGCCUUUGGACACUGGAGCUCAGAGGACCAAGUGAAUGAAUGAAUGACUCGAUCAAUCAACUGAUCCAUGAAUCCAUGGACCCCUGAACAGCUGGACAGCUGGGCUGUGGGCAGGACAGGGGACUCUGGCUGAAGCCGCGUUCAUAUGUGUUCAGCUUUGUGAGUGGGGCGAGGUUGAGGGCUUAUUCAGUGGGGGAGGUGCACGGCAGGGCCAGUACCCUUGGAGGGUCAGGCCACAGGGGCGGGGACACCUGCCAGGAUGCCCAACCCCAGAGGCAGUGGGAGCUGUUGGGGAGCCGUGGUCCCAGUCAGCGGUGGCUUGAUGAGGGCUGCUCCCACUUCAUCCGCAGGAUUCCAGCCGCAGCUACCCCACACCCGAGCUGUCCCUAGUCGCCCACCGCGGCCGGACAAAGCCCCAGCAGCCAAGGUGCUCCGUGGGGAGGGUUUCUUGGGUUUCUUGAAGCCAGUAUUUCCCAUAGUAUCUUACGUCCCAGCAGAGGCCUCCACUGUGCCCGGACCAGCGGCCCACUCAGUGAGUCGAGUGUGCACCUGGCACCCCUCUUUCUGGAAAUCCACGAACAAUGGGCUCCCAGCAGAGGACUGAGGCUGAGCAGGCCACUUCCCUGGAGCUGACCCCACAGCUGUCCUGCUCCUCCUUCGCCUUCUGCCAUGACUGUAAGCUUUCUGAGGGCUGACCAGAAGCCCAGCAGAUGCCAGCACCAUGCUUCCUAUACAGCCUGCAGAACCGUGAGCCAGCUAAACCUCUCCUCAUAAAUCACCGAGCCCCAGGUUUAUCUUUACAGCAAUGCAAGACCUGACUAAUACAGCACCAGCUCCCCAAAAUAAAAAGAAAUAUUCAAACAAAUAAGCGCACAGAAGUGUUCCCAGCAGCACUAUUCACAGCAGCCAAAAGGCGGAGGAGCCACAGGCUUGUCAGCUGAUGACAGAUAAAGAAAGCAUGGCCUGUCAUCCCAGCACUUUGGGAGGCCGAGGUGGGUGGAUCACCUGAGGUUGGGAGUUCAAGACCAGCCUGGCCAACAUGGUGAAACCCAGUCUCUACUAAAAAUAUAAAAAUUAGCUGGGUGUGAUGAUGAGCGCCUGUAGUCCCAGCUACUUGGAAGGCUGAGGAACAAGAAUCGCUUGAACCCGGGAGGCAGAGGUCGCAGUGAACCGAGAUC
RNAcentral lists this long non-coding RNA (4777 nucleotides) under Homo sapiens (human). Its description in RNAcentral is "non-protein coding MIR1-1HG-AS1:47". Lineage: Eukaryota; Metazoa; Chordata; Mammalia; Primates; Hominidae. The record is from RNAcentral.